This is an unclassified non-coding RNA of 300 nucleotides. The stretch from base 1 to 46 matches the Rfam family "Eukaryotic small subunit ribosomal RNA", at positions 1786 to 1831 of the family's 1831-position model.
AAGUCGUAACAAGGUUUCCGUAGGUGAACCUGCGGAAGGAUCAUUAACACGUAUCCACGUAUCAAAACCCCUCUGCGAAACCUCUUCUACGUAAGGCUUGAUCGGAGUUGUGCCCAUUCGAUCUCAAUGAUGGGAGUUGGUCGGUUCUUCGGAUCUGAUCAGCUCGGGAUCUAUGAAUGAGUACCGCGUUUGACGAUCAGCCGCUAUUUUCCCAUCGUUAGCCCAUUUAACUUUUAAACCCCUUGUACUUUUAUGUACUGAACCAAUUCUUCGAGUUUCGGCUUCGGCUGAGAUACGAAA